UGAUCUUCCGUUAAGGGUGAACCUGCGGAAGGAUCAUUAUCGAGUUCAGAAGCGAGGUUGUAGCUGGCCUUCUCGGAGGCAUCGUGCACGCCCUGCCCGUCCCAUAUCAUACCUGUGAACUUUUUGGUAGGCGGGUUUGUGUCGGCCUCGAAAGGGGUCGACCGGCCCUCCGGCCGUCUUUAUAUACACACCAUACGAGUCUUUAGAAUGUUUGUGCGUCUCGACGCAUCUUAUAUAUAACUUUCAGCGACGGAUCUCUUGGCUCUCGCAUCGAUGAAGAACGCAGCGAAACGCGAUAAGUAAUGUGAAUUGCAGAAUUCAGUGAAUCAUCGAAUCUUUGAACGCACCUUGCGCUCCUCGGUAUUCCGAGGAGCAUGCCUGUUUGAGUGUCAUGAAAUUAUCAACCCCUCCUCCUUCAUCGGCGGUGGGGCUUGGACUUGGAGGCUUUGCGGGCUUUUAACGAGUCGGCUCCUCUCAAAUGCAUUAGCUCGAACCCCUGCGGAUCGGCCGUCGGUGUGAUAUAAUGUCUACGUCGUGGUCGUGAGCGUCGGAUCGGCUUCUAAUGGUCCCCUUUCGGAGGCGGAAUUUGAACUUGUGACCUCAAAUCAGGUAGGACUACCCGCUGAACUUAAGCAUAUCAAUAAGCGGGAGGAA
This 654-nucleotide ribosomal RNA is filed under the name Sparassis latifolia. Its description in RNAcentral is "eukaryotic LSU rRNA". The stretch from base 239 to 392 matches the Rfam family "5.8S ribosomal RNA". Lineage: Eukaryota; Fungi; Basidiomycota; Agaricomycetes; Polyporales; Sparassidaceae. The record is from RNAcentral.